GAUGAACGCUGGCGGCGUGCCUAAUACAUGCAAGUCGGGCGAAUGGAUUAAGAGCUUGCUCUUAUGAAGUUAGCGGCGGACGGGUGAGUAACACGUGGGUAACCUGCCCAUAAGACUGGGAUAACUCCGGGAAACCGGGGCUAAUACCGGAUAACAUUUUGAACCGCAUGGUUCGAAAUUGAAAGGCGGCUUCGGCUGUCACUUAUGGAUGGACCCGCGUCGCAUUAGCUAGUUGGUGCGGUAACGGCUCACCAAGGCAACGAUGCGUAGCCGACCUGAGAGGGGGAUCGGCCACACUGGGACUGAGACACGGCCCAGACUCCUACGGGAGGCAGCAGGAGGGAAUCUUCCGCAAUGGACGAAAGUCGGACGGAGCAACGCCGCGUGAGUGAUGAAGGCUUUCGGGUCGUAAAACGCUGUUGUUAGGGAAGAACAAGUGCUAGUUGAAUAAGCUGGCACCUUGACGGUACCUAACCAGAAAGCCACGGCUAACUACGUGCCAGCCGCCGCCGUAA
This 515-nucleotide ribosomal RNA is filed under the name uncultured bacterium. RNAcentral's name for it is "partial 16S ribosomal RNA". It matches the Rfam family "Bacterial small subunit ribosomal RNA", at positions 28 to 523 of the family's 1533-position model. The record is from RNAcentral.